This is a long non-coding RNA of Gasterosteus aculeatus aculeatus (three-spined stickleback), 415 nucleotides long. The record is from Ensembl. Lineage: Eukaryota; Metazoa; Chordata; Actinopteri; Perciformes; Gasterosteidae.
GCCUCCAUAGCGUGACUGGGCAGCACACAGCUGUUAGGAGGUGUGGAAAGGCCUCCCAGCUGUGGAAACAGAUGAAAAGAAGCCCUCGCACACAAACAAACAGAAAGUGCGGCGGGCUUGGAAAGACAAGGGGUCAAUGGACGGGAAAUGCUUUCAUCGCGCCUGACUCUUUGACUCCAGUCCGCCAUUGUGUUUACGGGCCAAGUUCACGCCUCCUGAUGGGGUUUCCAGAUCUCCAUUGAGCGUUGCUCCAAUUUGAGAGACAUCUUUAUUUGCUUUUUUUUUUUACACUUGAACUGACGCUAACAGAACUUUAAGGGCGGGUGAUAAUAUUGUAAAUAACUUAUUUACCUUCACUAUUUAUUUCUUAUUUGCAAGAUCCAGACACAUUGCAAUAAAAUGAAGCAUCACUAAA